RNAcentral lists this ribosomal RNA (763 nucleotides) under Phyllosticta minima. Its description in RNAcentral is "eukaryotic LSU rRNA". It matches the Rfam family "Eukaryotic large subunit ribosomal RNA", at positions 87 to 866 of the family's 3401-position model. Lineage: Eukaryota; Fungi; Ascomycota; Dothideomycetes; Botryosphaeriales; Phyllostictaceae. The record is from RNAcentral.
CGGCGAGUGAAGCGGCAAUAGCUCAAAUUUGAAAGCUGGCGCCUUCGGCGUCCGCGUUGUAAUUUGUAGAGGAUGCUUCGGCGAGGACUCCUGCCUAAGUCCCCUGGAACGGGGCGUCACAGAGGGUGAGAAUCCCGUACGUGGCGGGCGGUCCGAGCCAUGUGAAGCUCCUUCGACGAGUCGAGUUGUUUGGGAAUGCAGCUCUAAAUGGGAGGUAAAUUUCUUCUAAAGCUAAAUAUUGGCCAGAGACCGAUAGCGCACAAGUAGAGUGAUCGAAAGAUGAAAAGCACUUUGGAAAGAGAGUUAAAAAGUACGUGAAAUUGUUGAAAGGGAAGCGCUUGCAACCAGACUCGCUCGCAGUUGCUCAGCCGGCCUCUUGGCCGGUGUACUCUUCUGCGAUCGGGCCAGCAUCAGUUCGGGCGGCCGGAUAAAGGCAUCGGGAAUGUAGCACCCUUCGGGGUGUGUUAUAGCCCGGCGCGGAAUGCGGCCAGCCUGGACUGAGGAUCUCGCUUCGGCAAGGAUGCUGGCGUAAUGGUUGUAAGCGGCCCGUCUUGAAACACGGACCAAGGAGUCUAACAUCUAUGCGAGUGUUUGGGUGUCAAACCCAUGCGCGUAAUGAAAGUGAACGGAGGUGGGAACCCUUCGCGGGGUGCACCAUCGACCGAUCCUGAUGUCUUCGGAUGGAUUUGAGUAAGAGCAUAGCUGUUGGGACCCGAAAGAUGGUGAACUAUGCCUGAAUAGGGUGAAGCCAGAGGAAACUCUG